This 253-nucleotide ribosomal RNA is filed under the name uncultured bacterium. Its description in RNAcentral is "partial 16S ribosomal RNA". It matches the Rfam family "Bacterial small subunit ribosomal RNA", at positions 524 to 776 of the family's 1533-position model. The record is from RNAcentral.
GACAGAGGGUGCAAACGUUGUUCGGAAUUACUGGGCGUAAAGCGAGUGUAGGCGGUUUGGUAAGUCGGAUGUGAAAGCCCCGGGCUCAACCCGGGAAGUGCACUCGAUACUGCCAAGCUAGAGUAUCGGAGAGGUUGGUGGAAUUCUCGGUGUAGAGGUGAAAUUCGUAGAUAUCGAGAGGAACACCGGUGGCGAAGGCGGCCUGCUGGGCAGUGGCUGACACUGAGGCGCGACAGCGUGGGGAGCAAACAGG